RNAcentral lists this ribosomal RNA (305 nucleotides) under uncultured bacterium. Its description in RNAcentral is "bacterial SSU rRNA". It matches the Rfam family "Bacterial small subunit ribosomal RNA", at positions 338 to 640 of the family's 1533-position model. The record is from RNAcentral.
CCUACGGGGCGCAGCAGUGAGGAAUAUUGGUCAAUGGCCGGAAGGCUGAACCAGCCAAGCCGCGUGAAGGACGAAGGUGCCAAGCAUUGUAAACUUCUUUUGUCAAGGGACAAAAUCAGGCUCGAGAGCCUGACCGAGGGUACUUGAAGAAAAAGCAUCGGCUAACUCCGUGCCAGCAGCCGCGGUAAUACGUAGGGGGCAAGCGUUAUCCGGAUUUACUGGGUGUAAAGGGAGCGUAGACGGCAGCGCAAGUCUGGAGUGAAAUGCCGGGGCCCAACCCCGGAACUGCUCUGGACACUGCGAAG